UACAGAGACUGCAAGCGUUAUUCGGAUUCACUGGGCGUAAAGGGUGCGCAGGCGGCCAGGUGUGUAUGGUGUGAAAUCUCGGGGCUUAACCCCGAAACUGCGCCAUAAACUAUCUGGCUAGAGUUUCGGAGAGGAUAGUGGAAUUCCUGGUGUAGCGGUGAAAUGCGUAGAUAUCAGGAGGAACACCAAUGGCGAAGGCAACUAUCUGGACGAAUACUGACGCUCAGGCACGAAAGCAUGGGGAGCGAAAGGG
This 253-nucleotide ribosomal RNA is filed under the name uncultured bacterium. RNAcentral's name for it is "partial 16S ribosomal RNA". It matches the Rfam family "Bacterial small subunit ribosomal RNA", at positions 524 to 776 of the family's 1533-position model. The record is from RNAcentral.